GGCUUUGCGCAGUGGCAGUAUCGUAGCCAAUGAGGUUUAUCCGAGGCGCGAUUAUUGCUAAUUGAGUUAGUGUUUUCAUUUUCUUUGGGUAGUAGUGGAAUUACUGGAUUAUGCAGUGU
This 119-nucleotide small nuclear RNA is filed under the name Neogale vison (American mink). RNAcentral's name for it is "Neovison vison (American mink) U4 spliceosomal RNA (ENSNVIG00000013562.1)". It matches the Rfam family "U4 spliceosomal RNA". From Rfam's summary of the family: U4 small nuclear RNA (U4 snRNA) is a component of the major U2-dependent spliceosome. The structure of U4 snRNA from yeast and human has been reported. The record is from Rfam by way of RNAcentral. Lineage: Eukaryota; Metazoa; Chordata; Mammalia; Carnivora; Mustelidae.